AGCCCUGUGGUCUAGAGGCUGAAGGUUAGGACCAGAAGAGUGGAGGGUCUGAUGGGCAAAGACAACUCUUAGUAUUUUAAAUCUGAGACACUCUAGUCUUUGUUAUUUUUCUAUUUAAACAGUUAUUUUUAAACAACACAGCUUGAUAACCUGAGGUUUCUAAAAAUUGCACCAAUUGAGUUACAGAAUAGAUACCACCCCCGAUCAGGAAGAGGUAGUGGCAACAAAGACUGAAAAGAUACAUUAGAGCCAGAUCGUGGAGGUCCUUUCAUUAUUUCAGUAAAUCUGUGUCCAAAGCCUUAGGUGCCAGGAACUGUGGAGUUUGAACUCUCUUCUGUAAGCAGCAAGGCGCUUGUAAGCAGAGGCAUUUCAGAGUAAGAGAAACUGCUGAAAAGUCACCAAUGUGACCGUCAGCUGUCGAGGCUGGAAGAGAAGCAACACACCCAUGUGCUAGAAAGGACUGCAGAGAAAUCUCUGGCUCAAAUCUGAGAGAGACAAGGCAGGGAAAGACCACUAAGGCAACCCGUCAGCUGAAAAAAGCCAGCGGACAGGCUUUGGUUUGUCAGAAUGGAUACACUGAAGGAUCACAGCCUUGACAGUAUGUAGUUGUGCAACCAUGCCGAUGAGGAUGCUGAGGCUGUGGGGGCCACUCAGCUGGAAAGUGAUGGAGCCUGGACGUGGACUGAACCCAGGCAAUGCCACUCCAGAACCCACCCUCAUUAACUUAACUGCCCAGUGCAGAGAAGCCCCUCAAAAUCCUUCUGUCUGGAACCACGUGCUGUGCUGUGCUUAGUCGCUCAGUCGUGUCCGACUCUUUGUGACCCCAUGGACUAUAGCCCGCCAGGCUCCUCUGUCCAUGGGGAUUCUCCAGGAAAGAAUACUGGAGUGGGUUGUCAUGCCCUCCUCCAGGGGAGCCUCCUAACCCAGGGAUCGAACACAGGUCUCCCGCAUUGCAGGUGGAUUCUUUACCGUCUGAGUCACCAGGGAAGCCCAAGAAUACUGGAAUGGGUAGCCUAUCCCUUCUCCAGGGGAUCUUCCCUACGCAGGAAUCAAACCCAGGUGUCUCUAAUGAGAAAGCCUGCACUUCUUCAGGGAGGAAAUAUGAGCAGGAGUCCAAGCCAGGAAGAUUCUCUCAAGUCUCAGGCUCAGCUACUAAUGAAUAUUGACAGGGAAAAAAAGAGAAAUCUCAUGUUUCCUUGAUUCUAAGACACACCACCCAUUUAAUUGAAAGU
Bos taurus (domestic cattle) is the source of this 1232-nucleotide long non-coding RNA. The record is from Ensembl. Lineage: Eukaryota; Metazoa; Chordata; Mammalia; Artiodactyla; Bovidae.